AUGGACUCCAGGCUGAGCUGGGUUUUUCUUAUUGCUAUUUUAGAAGGUGUCCGGUGUGAAGGGCAGCUGGAGUCUGGGGAAGACGUGAGGCAGCCUGGGGGAUCUCUGAGUCUUUGGUGUAAGGGCUCUGGAUUCAUCUUCAGCAGUUAUGACAUGGAUUGGGUCCGCCAUGCUCCAGGCAAAGGGUUAGAGUGGGUCUCAGGUAUUACUCCCGGUGGGGGCGCUUACUACUCAGACUCUGUGAGGGGCCAAUCCACCAUCUCCAGAGACAAUGCCAAGAACACGUUGUAUCUGCAUAUGGACAGCGUGAAACCAGAGGACACUGCCCUGUAUUACUGUGUGAAAGACACAGUGAGAGGAAGUCAUUGUGAGCUCAGACAUAAUCCUGCUCUGCAGGAAGGGAACCGGGCUCCAGGGAGUGCUCAGAACUCACUAAGUCCAGGGACCAGCACCAGGGGCAGGCUCAAGACCAGCACCCUUAUGUCCCUUGGGGAUCUAGAGUUAUAA
This is a non-coding RNA of Orycteropus afer afer, 507 nucleotides long. NCBI's taxonomy places the organism in Eukaryota, Metazoa, Chordata, Mammalia, Tubulidentata, Orycteropodidae. The record is from the annotation of a RefSeq genome assembly.